CCUACGGGAGGCAGCAGUGAGGAAUAUUGGUCAAUGGGCUUACGCCUGAACCAGCCAAGUCGCGUGAGGGAAGACUGCCCUAUGGGUUGUAAACCUCUUUUGUCAGGGAGCAACGCCGGCUACGUGUAGCCUGACUGAGAGUACCUGCAGAAAAAGCAUCGGCUAACUCCGUGCCAGCAGCCGCGGUAAUACGGGGGAUGCGAGCGUUAUCCGGAUUUAUUGGGUUAAAGGGGUGCGUAGGCGGAAUGCCAAGUCAGCGGUAAAAUCGCGGGGCUCAACCUCGCUCCGCCGUUGAAACUGGCGGUCUUGAGUGGGCGAGAAGUAGGCGGAAUGCGUGGUGUAGCGGUGAAAUGCAUAGAUAUCACGCAGAAAUCCGAUUGCGAAGGCAGCAUAUCGGAGUCUAACUGACGCUGAAGCACGAAAGCGUGGGUAUCGAACAGGAUUAGAUACCCUGGUAGUC
This 460-nucleotide ribosomal RNA is filed under the name uncultured bacterium. RNAcentral describes it as "partial 16S ribosomal RNA". It matches the Rfam family "Bacterial small subunit ribosomal RNA", at positions 338 to 795 of the family's 1533-position model. The record is from RNAcentral.